Molecule: ribosomal RNA, 578 nt
Filed under: uncultured bacterium
Lineage: Bacteria
Description: bacterial SSU rRNA
Rfam family: Bacterial small subunit ribosomal RNA
Source: RNAcentral
AAUCAACGCUGGCGGCGUGCCUAACACAUGCAAGUCGAACGAGAAAGGGUAGCAAUACCUGAGUAAAGUGGCGCACGGGUGAGUAACACGUGACUAACCUACCCUGGAGUGGGGGAUAACUGAGGGAAACCUUAGCUAAUACCGCAUAAUACCUACGGGUCAAAGGAGCAAUUCGCUUCAGGAGGGGGUCGCGGCCGAUUAGUUAGUUGGCGGGGUAAUGGCCCACCAAGACAGUGAUCGGUAUCCGGCCUGAGAGGGCGCACGGACACACUGGAACUGAAACACGGUCCAGACUCCUACGGGAGGCAGCAGUGGGGAAUUUUGCGCAAUGGGGGAAACCCUGACGCAGCAACGCCGCGUGGAGGAUGAAGUCCUUCGGGACGUAAACUCCUUUCGAUCGGGACGAUAAUGACGGUACCGGAAGAAGAAGCCCCGGCUAACUUCGUGCCAGCAGCCGCGGUAAUACGAGGGGGGCGAGCGUUGUUCGGAAUUAUUGGGCGUAAAGGGUGCGUAGGCGGUUUGGUAAGUCUUAUGUGAAAUCUAUGGGCUCAACUCAUAGACUGCAUGAGAAACUGCCG